GCUGGGCCCGAUGGCAUGUGCCUGUAGUCCCAGCUACUCCGGAGUCUGAGGCCAGAGAUCUCUUGAGUCCAGGAGUUCUGGGCUGUAGUGCGCUAUGCUGAUCAGGUGUCUGCACUAAGUUCGGCAUCAGUAUGGUGACCACCUGGGAGUGGGGGACCACCAGGUUGCCUAAGGAGGGGUGAACCAGCCCAGGUCGGAAACGGAGCAGGUCAAAACUCCCGUGCUGAUCAGUAGUGGGAUCGCGCCUGUGAAUAGCCACUGCACUCCAGCCUGGGCAACAUAGUGAGACCCCAUCUCU
Molecule: signal recognition particle RNA, 298 nt
Filed under: Aotus nancymaae (Ma's night monkey)
Lineage: Eukaryota; Metazoa; Chordata; Mammalia; Primates; Aotidae
Description: Metazoan signal recognition particle RNA (ENSANAG00000007174.1)
Rfam family: Metazoan signal recognition particle RNA
About the family: The signal recognition particle (SRP) is a universally conserved ribonucleoprotein.
Source: RNAcentral